GGCGAUCAGAUACCGCCCUAGUUCUGACCGUAAACGAUGCCAACUAGCGAUCCGCCAGUCGACUCAUCGCUCUGGUGGGGAGCUUCCCGGAAACGAAAGUCUUCCGGUUCCGGGGGAAGUAUGGUUGCAAAGCUGAAACUUAAAGGAAUUGACGGAAGGGCACCACCAGGAGUGGAGCCUGCGGCUUAAUUUGACUCAACACGGGGAAACUCACCCGGCCCGGACACCGUAAGGAUUGACAGAUUGAUAGCUUUUUCAUGAUUCGGUGGAUGGUGGUGCAUGGCCGUCCUUAGUUCGUGGAGCGAUUUGUCUGGUUUAUUCCGAUAACGAGCGAGACUCUGGCCUACUAAAUAGUUGACGCAUUGCCACUGUGCGCACAACUUCUUAGAGGGAUUUUCGGUGUUUUCAACCGCACGAAAUUGAGCAAUAAUAGGUCUGUGAUGCCCUUAGAUGUCCGGGGCUGCACGCGCGCUACACUGGCAAACGCAACGUGCCUGUCCUGCCCCGAAAGGAGCGGGUAAACCCCUGAAAUUUUGCCGUGAUUGGGAUCGGACAUUGCAACUAUUGUCCGUGAACGAGGAAUUCCUUGUAGGGGCGAGUCAUCAACUCGUCCCGAAUACGUCCCUGCCCUUUGUA
Molecule: ribosomal RNA, 636 nt
Filed under: Rotylenchulus reniformis
Lineage: Eukaryota; Metazoa; Nematoda; Chromadorea; Rhabditida; Hoplolaimidae
Description: SSU rRNA
Rfam family: Eukaryotic small subunit ribosomal RNA
Source: RNAcentral